AAGCAGAGUAAAAAGUUUCUGAGAAUUUUCAAAGUUUAUAAAAGAGACCGAAAGGAGGUCUGUAUCCUUGGAAGCUCCGGCUUCAUUUUACCAAGACGUUUACCCUUAACCAUACCACGAAGUUUUAAACUUCAUCCAUCAUAAACACAAAAACAAAGGCCUCACGUCAACUUAAAAGACCAUCAUCUUCAUCAACAAGUGAUCGACGAACAAAAUCCAGGUUCAGGACACAGCCGGAUACACUGACGAGGGAAUGGCAGCAACAAUAAAAGCAAUAAAAGCAAUUUUGGACCAAAAGUUGAAAGAAAGCCAACUAAUUGAGAAUCAAAUCAAAGGACUAGAGGAAGCGCUGAAAGAUCUUGGAGGAUCAGCAGUAGACCUACCAAGCCCAGCAGAAGUAGCAACCCAAAGUACCACAACAACACCAC
Long non-coding RNA from Gossypium arboreum, 428 nucleotides. RefSeq lists it as uncharacterized. The transcript is spliced from 2 exons. The record is from RefSeq and is a predicted model, not a curated record. Lineage: Eukaryota; Viridiplantae; Streptophyta; Magnoliopsida; Malvales; Malvaceae.